GACAGAGGGUGCAAACGUUGUUCGGAAUUACUGGGCGUAAAGCGCGUGUAGGCGGCCCUGCAAGUCGGGUGUGAAAUCCCACGGCUCAACCGUGGAAGUGCACUCGAAACUGCAGGGCUAGAGUCCUGGAGAGGAAGGUGGAAUGCUUGGUGUAGAGGUGAAAUUCGUAGAUAUCAAGCGGAACACCGGUGGCGAAGGCGGCCUUCUGGACAGUGACUGACGCUGAGACGCGAAAGCUAGGGGAGCAAACAGG
RNAcentral lists this ribosomal RNA (253 nucleotides) under uncultured bacterium. RNAcentral's name for it is "partial 16S ribosomal RNA". It matches the Rfam family "Bacterial small subunit ribosomal RNA", at positions 524 to 776 of the family's 1533-position model. The record is from RNAcentral.